AUGCUCGCUUCGGCAGCACAUAUACUAAAACUGGAAUGAUAUAAAGAUUAGCAUGGCCCCUGCAUUAGGAUGAUACGCAAAUUCGUGAAGCGUUCCAUAUUUAA
Small nuclear RNA from Suncus etruscus (white-toothed pygmy shrew), 104 nucleotides. NCBI's taxonomy places the organism in Eukaryota, Metazoa, Chordata, Mammalia, Eulipotyphla, Soricidae. The record is from RefSeq and is a predicted model, not a curated record.